RNAcentral lists this long non-coding RNA (2943 nucleotides) under Homo sapiens (human). RNAcentral describes it as "HSALNT0000335". Lineage: Eukaryota; Metazoa; Chordata; Mammalia; Primates; Hominidae. The record is from RNAcentral.
CAGCAGAGGCAACAUCUUCUGGCCGCGCAGGCUCUUCCGGAAGGUCUCGAGCACCAGGUCUGGUGCGGGUGGGGGAGAGAGGGUGAGUGGGGGGCAGAGGCUGGGGCUGGAGGGGGUGGGGAGGGUGUGAGGGGUGGGACCCAGGUGAGCUGAGGUGUGGGGAAGGUUGGGGCAGGGGGCGGCGCUGCCACACAGGCCCUCGGGAGGUGGAAGAGCCCCAUCUGUGGGGGUCUGAACUUGGGAAGAGGGCAGGUAGGCAUUCAAGACUGGGCAGGUUGUGGGGGUGUGGGGUGGGGGCUUGGAGGCUCACCCAGGGUCUCGAUGACCACACCUGGGAUGACCUCCUUCAGGACCUCGCAGUUGGUGUGCAGGGCUGGGUUAGAAUUCAUCUCCAGCAGCCAUACCUGCCCCAGACGCCAGUCAGUCCCUCCUCACCCCGAGCCCACUGGGCCAGCAGGAGGCAGAGGCCCUGGUCCUCAUUCAGACAGAUGGCUCUGGGAGAUUGCUUCCUUCCUAUAGCCUUGCUCCCCUGUUUGUCCACUGAAGCUCUGAGGGUCUGAAGCUCUGGCCUGAGGGGGCUGCUCUGAGGAGGGGGUGCAGUUCCAUCCUAGCUGCACAGGGGGACAGCACCUUGAAGUUGUCAUCAAUCAGGAAGUCACAGCCAAUGAGGUCAAAGUAACCCAGCUUGCAGUCCAGCUUGGGCUUGGCGGCCAGAAAGCAGUGGGCCAUGAUCUGCUGCAUCCGCUUCUGCAGGGAGGCAGGGAGGCAUCCUGGCUGCGGCCCGUAGGCCCUGAUCACACCCCAGGUCUGAACAGCCACAGCCACAUCCCUCACCUGCACUCCCAUCUGAACCCGCACCUGUACAGCCACACCUGCCCACACGUUCGUGCACUCAGCCUCACAGGUUCACAGCCAGAAACUCACUCAACAAACUCGUGCAGCUCCUGUCCUGUGUCAGGCACUGGAGAUACGAGAGUGAGGAAAACUCACAGGAAAUCUCUGCCCUUGAGCAGAAGAGACGGAUAGCAAAUGGGAUACGUAAAAUCUCGAAUCUUGUUCCUUGGAAGAUCCCAUUUGAAAGGACUAACAGAAAGUGUGAGGGCCAGGCACGUGGCUCACACCUGUAGUCCCAGCAGUUUGGGAGGCUGAGGCAGGAGGAUUGCUUGAGCUCAGGAGUUUGAGACCAGCCUGGCCAACAUGGUGAGACCCCAUCUCUACUAGAAAUACACAAGUUGGUCGGGCGCGUGGCUCACACCUGUAGUCCCAGCACUUUGGGAGGCUGAGGCAGGAGGAUCGCUUGAGCUCAGGAGUCUGAGAUCAGCCUGGGCAAUAUAGGGAGACCUUGUCUCUACCAAAAAAUUAGCAAAAUUAGCUAAGCGUGGUGGUGUAUGCCUGUAGUCCCACCUACUUGGGAGGCUGAGGUGGGAGGACUGCUUGAGCCCAAGAGGCAGAGGCUGUGGUAAGCUGAGAUUGUGCCACUGCACUCUAGCCUGGGUGACACAGUGAGACUGUCUAAAAAAAAGAAGUAUGGGCCGGGCACAGUGGCUCACGUCUGUAAUCCCAGCACUUUGGGAAGCUGAGGUGGGUGGAUCACCUGAGGUCAGGAGUUCGAGACAAGCCUUGCCAACAUGGUGAAACCCUGCCUCUACUAAAACUAAAAAAAAAAAAAAAAAAGUAUGACGAUGAUGUCUUAUCAAAUAAUAGAGAAUACUGGUGAAGAGAGAAAAAUUAUAAAAGAGAAUCAAAUAGAAAUUCUGAAGUUGAAAAGUAGAACAAAAGUAGAACAAAUAAAACAUGCACUAGAAGUGCUCAACAGCAGAUUUGAAUUGUUUGCAGAUAGGCCAAUUGAGAUUAUUUAGUCUGAGGAACAGAAAGAAAAAGGAGGCCGGGUGCAGUGGCUUCACACCUGUAAUCCCAGCACUUUGGGAGGCCAAGGCAGGGGGAUCGCUUGAGGUCAGGAGUUUGAGACCAGCCUGGCCAACAUUGUGAAACCUCGUCUCUACUAAAUAUACAAAAAUUAGCCAGAUGUGAUGGUGCGUGCCUGUAGUCCCAGCUACUUGGGAGGCUGGUAGGCCGGAGGAUUGCUUGAGCCCAGAAGGAGGAGGCUGCAGUGAGCUGAGAUUGCACCACUGCACUCCAUCUUGGGUGACAGAAACCCUGUCUCAAAACAAAAAAUGAAAGAGAGAGAGAGAGGGAAGAAAAAUAAAGCCUCAGAGACUUGUGGGUGGGACACUGUCAAAUGGACCAACAUAUGCAUAAUGGGAGUCCCAGAAGGAGAGAAGAGAAAGGAGCAGAAACAAUAUUUGAAAAAAUAAUGGCAGAAAACUUCCCAGUUUAAUGAAAAACAACCUACACAUUCAAGAAGCUCAAUGAACUCAAAGUAGGAUAAACUCAGAGAUCCACCACCUCAUCAGCAAACUUCCAAAAGACAGAGAACGUCGAAAUCAGCAGGAGAGAAGCCGCUCGUUAUGUAUGAGGCAUCCACAGAAAGAUGAACAGCCAGUUUCUCAUUAGAGGUCGUGAGGUGGGCAGGCAGUGGGAUGGCACAAAUUCCCAAAAGUAAAAAUACUGUUGACCAAAAAUUCUACAUCUAGCAAAAGCUGCUUCAAAAAUGAAGGGGAGAUUAAGACAUUCCCAGAUAAACAAAGGUAGACCCGCCCUACCGUCCUUCAGGCUGAAAUGAAAAGACACUAGACAGUAACUGGAACUCACAGGAGGAAAUAAAGAGCCCCAGAAAAGGUCAUUGUGUAAUUAAAUAUAAGAGACAGCAUACAUGUAUUUUUUUGUAUGUGAUUGUUUUGUCCUAAAAGACAACUGUAUACAACAAUAAUUAUGAAUCCAUGUUGAUGGACACAAAUAUACUGAGCUGUAAUUUGUGACAACAGCAUGAGAGGGGUGGGGCUGUGUAGGAGGAGUGUUUUUGUAUACUUUUAGGAGCAGUGU